Long non-coding RNA from Schistocerca nitens (vagrant locust), 3490 nucleotides. RefSeq lists it as uncharacterized. The transcript has 5 exons. Lineage: Eukaryota; Metazoa; Arthropoda; Insecta; Orthoptera; Acrididae. The record is from RefSeq and is a predicted model, not a curated record.
AGGCAUUAACAAGUACAGUCGAUCCCUUGAGCCACCGCCUUACGUGUUAAUUUAGCUUGGACGCGUAGUACAAGGAAAGUUACUAAGGAAUUCGAGCGACUAUGGAAAUAACUGUCAGAGACCGGUAUUCUCCUCUGGCAGUUAUCGUUAUUGGCUCGUAGUUCUAGUUCUCUGGCAGUUAUCGGGCUACCACCACAGGUAACCUGGAAGCUGGUAACGGAAUAACUGUGUGUUGUAGACGUUCCUGACUCGGUGACUCCAGUUAAAGGUCGUAGUUCCAGGUGAUAUUUCCAGAGAGGAUAGUAACUGGAGCGAACAAAUAUUUUCGUACUGCUACGGAAACGACCGUGGGCCAUCGGGGAGAGGGGAUGGCAAAUAACGGGAAUCUAUCGUCUCAUUUCUCUGCAAUUCUUGGUGUUCCGGAACAGGUGUCACUAUUUUUCCGGCCUUUGAUUGCGUUACAGGGUAUUGACUUUCGUUCCGCGUUCUUGUUUUUCUUUUGUGUUGUUGAUAUUACCACCAAUAGUUACCAACAUGAAGAGGUCGAGGACAAGCGAAAUGUGGUCAUAUUUCGAAACUCUUGAUCGAGAGUUUGCGAAAUGUACUUUGUGCGGUAAGAAAUUAUCGUACAAAUCGACGACGACGAAUUUAAAAAAAAACAUCUUCAGAAAUCACAUUUAAUUGUGAAUUUCUCUUCACAAAGACCUUCGGAGCUAGAUUUGGGUGAAACCCUUCCUGUAGAGGUGAUCCUUGGCACCAGUAGUGUGGAAGAGGAGCGAGAGGCACACCAACACCAGCAGAUGAGUCUCCGUUUAAUACUUGGGAUAUUAUAACAGUAAGUUAUAGCUCCAGAAGUCAGUCACCAGCAGCAGAUGUCACACAGUUAUAAAAUGGGAAACUUGAAGAAUAAGCUCCAGAAGUCAGCAGCAGCAGCAGCAGCCGCCGUCACACAGCCAUAAUGCGAGAAGCUUGAAGAAUAAUGUGUUAUGGCUCCGAUAGUCUUCCAGCAGCAGCAAAUGUUACACAGUCCUAUAGAGGCAAACUUGAAGUAUAAAGUAAUAGUGUUUUGCAUACAAUGGCAAACUUGACCUUUCGCUUAAAAUUGAGGUACAUUUGCACUGAGUUUAAUGUUAUGACACGUGAAUGGAUUACCAGUGAUGUAUAUGUAAAUACUGGAAUUUGUAACUUAGAACUUAAUUUCAGUAUCGGCUUUGAAAUUUGGUCACUGGAUACAACUAUAUUAUCUUUCAUGUUGAUAGCAGCAAUCAUCAGAUUGCAAUCCAGUUAAGUACCUGUGAGGCAUGAGAUGUCAAAAAUACUUGUGGGUUAUUGGUAGCCUGUGUCAAGGCAUGUGGCACCUCAAAGUUUGUAAGUACAGUAGCAUUUUGUUUUCUGCUUUACUUAAAAAUUGGUAGCUGUAGCACCCAUUCUGACAUUCAAUUAUUUUGAAUUUCAAGUUUCUUAGAAUGAUACUGACAUCAGUUUGUUAACACUAAUCCGUAUAUUAUUUUGUUAAUAUAUGCUGCUAUUUUCCUCAGAUGUUAACUGAAAUUGUUUUAUUGUAAUGAUAACAACACUUCAGCCUUUGCAAACUUGCAGUAUAGGUUACCUGCUGAGAAAUAUUUACUGGAAGAAAUGGUUUCUUGAAUAGGACCGAAAGGAAAACCACUGAAAAUGCCAAACGUGAAUUGGUGAAACAUCUUGUGCUCAAUACUAAAUUUCAUUUGCAAAACACGGAAGUUUUCCUAUCUUUGUGGUGGAACACAACAAAUUCUCAUAAUUUUGCUAGUUUGUAUUCUAGAAAGGGUGCCAGAAAUGGAAGAGUAUAAUUUUUAUUAAAUCUGGCAUUAAAUGUAAGUAGGUUGGAGUACAGAAAGGGGGCAACUGGCCUUCCCCACUGUAGCCUGAUGUGCUCCAACAUGCAUUUGUACUGAUGUGCAGGUGGUUAUAACACUAGUAUCAAACUGCAUGGUACCCACUUACUAAUGUGACCUACCCUUGCAUGAUCUUCUGCAGACAGCAAGAAAUCCGCUACUGCUCUUACUACGUGUCCAACAGUUGUGGAGGAUUUUUUCCCCUUGGUGCUUGACAUGACAUGUUUUACCCUCUGCCCUUAAAAUCUCAAUUCUUGUUACAUUUUUCAUCCAUUUUCUAUCUCCUGAUGGACCUGUAUUGAUUAAAAAACUAAUCACUGCAGAGGUGAUUGUAGAACUUUUGCUAGUGGCAGUGUGGAGGGGCUCCACUCUUUAAAAAAUAAAAUUACAUUGUGGGACAUGGAAUUAUUAUUAGAUGCUUUCAUGGACAUUUUGUUUACUGAAAAAGUCAGUCAUUAUCUGAGGUAUUUAAAUGUUAACUUCAAAUCUAAAACUGCAUCAAAAGAUAAAUUUCAGUAAGUCUUUAACAAGUUUCAGUAUCUUGCUUCACAUGCUGGACCCUCCAACUAUAAAAAACAGUGUUUUGCAGAGAACAGCUAUUCAGAUGUUAACAUCCCAGAAUUUGUGUAGAAGAUAUCCCUUACAUUGUUAGUUUCAUUGUGGUCACACUCUACAGUGUAGUGUUAUCAGCAUACAUAUAGAAGUUUGAAGAACAUAUUAAAUUAAUUGCUGGACAUGCCUUAAGUGAAUAUGUUUACUACUAAUAUGAGUCAGCUAAGUAGUUGCUGCAAGUUUUUAUGUUGUUUCUAAAGUGUCUUUAGACAAGGAUAUUUCUGCUGUUUGUUUCCUGUUCUUCUGUUUCAGAUAACUACUCAUAUAUGCAGCAACUGCUGAAGCAGCCUCUGGCAGUUUAUUGAAGUUCCGUGAACAAAGUGUUGUGUGGUCUGUUUGUGUAAAGUGAUAAAGAAAAAUGUUAAAGUGUAAUUGCAUAUGUAAUUGUGUAUAUAUUUAAUCAUUAUUUUUGCUAGUUGUAAGAUCUAUUUUCAUGUAAAUCAGAACAUUGUAUAAUAAGUAACAACCGAAUGAGGCAGUGUAGCUAUUAACAGCACUGACCUCAUAUUCGGGAGGAUGGGGUUCGCACUGUCUGGCCAUCCUGGAUCGCUAAGGCAAAUGCCGGGAUGGUUCCUUCAUCAAGGCCACGGCUGACCACCUGUCCCGCCCUUAAAGAGAUCCUUUAAACAUUGUGUGUAUACCCAUAUUUUGAAUGAUUGAUGUUUGUUGUAUUAUGUUGAGAUAUUCUUGGAUGAAAUAAAAAAAGUUUAUACAUUUGUAUUUGUGGUCACAUGUUAAAUUACUGAGAAAAUUGCAGAGUGAUUAUGGCACCGAAUUUCCAUUCAGGUGCAUUGGGAUCCUUCGCCUGUUUGAACAUCCUGAUUUACAUUUUAUUUGGGUUCCCUAAAUUCCUUUAGGCAAAUACUUUUGUUGGUUCCACUGAAUAGGCCAUGGCAGAUUACCUGCCAUGUCCAAUCUGAGUUUCUGCUCAGUCUCUUGACAUGUUAACUAUUUAUUCAUUCUCUUUAUAAUGCUGCAAUGUUUUUAAGUGUUCCAUAUCAUUG